UAAUGCAGUCGACGAACUCUGGUAUUGAUUGGUGCUUGCAUCAUGAUUUACAUUUGAGUGAGUGGCGAACUGGUGAGUAACACGUGGGAAACCUGCCCAGAAGCGGGGGAUAACACCUGGAAACAGAUGCUAAUACCGCAUAACAACUUGGACCGCAUGGUCCGAGUUUGAAAGAUGGCUUCGGCUAUCACUUUUGGAUGGUCCCGCGGCGUAUUAGCUAGAUGGUGGGGUAACGGCUCACCAUGGCAAUGAUACGUAGCCGACCUGAGAGGGUAAUCGGCCACAUUGGGACUGAGACACGGCCCAAACUCCUACGGGAGGCAGCAGUAGGGAAUCUUCCACAAUGGACGAAAGUCUGAUGGAGCAACGCCGCGUGAGUGAAGAAGGGUUUCGGCUCGUAAAACUCUGUUGUUAAAGAAGAACAUAUCUGAGAGUAACUGUUCAGGUAUUGACGGUAUUUAACCAGAAAGCCACGGCUAACUACGUGCCAGCAGCCGCGGUAAUACGUAGGUGGCAAGCGUUGUCCGGAUUUAUUGGGCGUAAAGCGAGCGCAGGCGGUUUUUUAAGUCUGAUGUGAAAGCCUUCGGCUCAACCGAAGAAGUGCAUCGGAAACUGGGAAACUUGAGUGCAGAAGAGGACAGUGGAACUCCAUGUGUAGCGGUGAAAUGCGUAGAUAUAUGGAAGAACACCAGUGGCGAAGGCGGCUGUCUGGUCUGUAACUGACGCUGAGGCUCGAAAGUAUGGGUAGCAAACAGGAUUAGAUACCCUGGUAGUCCAUACCGUAAACGAUGAAUGCUAAGUGUUGGAGGGUUUCCGCCCUUCAGUGCUGCAGCU
RNAcentral lists this ribosomal RNA (834 nucleotides) under Lactiplantibacillus plantarum. Its description in RNAcentral is "bacterial SSU rRNA". It matches the Rfam family "Bacterial small subunit ribosomal RNA", at positions 49 to 853 of the family's 1533-position model. Lineage: Bacteria; Bacillati; Bacillota; Bacilli; Lactobacillales; Lactobacillaceae. The record is from RNAcentral.